RNAcentral lists this small nucleolar RNA (131 nucleotides) under Phoenicopterus ruber ruber. RNAcentral describes it as "Small nucleolar RNA SNORA55". It matches the Rfam family "Small nucleolar RNA SNORA55". Rfam says of the family: ACA55 is a member of the H/ACA class of snoRNA that guide the sites of modification of uridines to pseudouridines. The record is from Rfam by way of RNAcentral. Lineage: Eukaryota; Metazoa; Chordata; Aves; Phoenicopteriformes; Phoenicopteridae.
GCAUCUGAAUCUUUCCCAUUCCUUGUGAUACAGUACUGGACUGGGGAUACAUGAUGCAACAGGAAAGCAGAGGAAAUCCAGACAAGCUCCCUUUCACCAGUGGGACUUGUCUCUACACCUUUGCAACAUUU